GCCCGCCUGGGGCCGCGGGGCCUCCGGGUUAAGCAGCCGAGAUCCGCACACACUGGACGGAACCAGACUUAGGAGCAAAAGAGCUAAACUUCACGGGAGACCCUGAGUCAGAACCACCUCGCUAAGCCACUCCAGGAUUCCUGGUCCUCAGAAAAUAUGGAGUGGCAGUGGACAAAGCUUUGGCCAAUGAGACAUACAGGGAAGUCUACCUGAAGCCUCUGCGAAAGAUUUUGCUUCCUGCGAAGGAGAGAAACAUGCUUAAGAAUUCAGUAGCACUGCCCCUGACCUUUCUUCCUACCUCACAAGUCUGUUGAAAAGUUGUGUGAGGCUACUGUCUUGUGACAACGAGAAGAUAAGUGUAAUCUUGGGAAGACAUCAAGUGGGAGUGGCUGAGCAUAAGGAAAGAAGAACCGAACCUAGAGCCAUGGAGGCAUGCCUGCCCCUCUUGAAGUGAUUGUUUGAAGCAGAUGGAAACUGACUUUCCUUCAGUCCUAAUACCAAAUAGGGAGAGAAUCCAAUGGGUUCAGCUUGGCUUCAAUAUUUUUUCCUUGAACCAAUUACCUUGAUGGUGACAGACCAGGAGAGCUUCGGUACAGAUCUGCAGCCAGGACCGUGGGUGAGGGAGCACCUGGUGUCAACACUCUGACUUGACUUAGAGAGGUUACAACGUUCAUCAAAUACUAGUCAAGUGUACAGAGAUAAAUGUCUUCCUAGGGAGACUCCAGAAAUCAAGCCUACUUUUCAGCUUCCUAUAGUGAUAAAAACAGCAGGAGCCAAUGCCAAGUCAGAGGCCUAAAAAUAUGAGCAUGGGGGAAACUGUAAUAAAGUCAGGAUUACUGAAACCAAAUACGUCCAGGAGUAAAGGACACAUUGUUGAUUCCCUUCCAGAACCAUUUCCCCUCUUCCUUACCAUUAUAGCUCUGCUUUUGUCCAGGUAUCUGUGCUUCUCCACUUGAUUGUGUGCUUGCAUAGAUGCCAGCUACUUCCUAAGAUCCCAAGGUGAAUCCUGAUUAAUCUAAACCAAUCAAGGUAGUACCAUUCCCUUUAUCUCUCAUUAGGCUUGGGCAGGUGAUACAUUCUUAUCAAUGAGGCCUGGGGUAAAAUCAACUGGAUGUUUCUGAGAAACGUUUCUUCUUUCCUAGAAAAGAUACGGAUGAAGAGAUUACCUUUUCCUUCUUUAUACCUUCUUGUAUCUGGAUAUUGGAUACACCUGGAAUUGCUAUAGCCAUUUUAUGAACAUAAGGAGACCUAAUCUAAGGAAAGAAGAGGGAAAAGCUAGAAAAUGAAAAGACUGGGGUCAAUGAUAAUUUACUGAUCAGUGAAUUCACUAUCCUUAGAGCCAUCCUACAUUUAGACUAAUUAUAUGAGAUACAUUUUAUUUUGUAAGCCACUUUGAGUUGAUUUUCAUUUACUUGCUGCUGAAGGCAAACCAACUAAAACAGGGAAUAUGGUGGGAAUUAAGGCUAGAAAGACAAGCAGAUAAGAUUCCACACACAGAAAUAGGAGUCAGAAUAAAGUCAGACUUCUUAGCAACCCUGAAAGCUAGAUGAUGAAAUUAUGAAGGAAAAAGAUUUUCCAAGGUAGAAUUUUCAGACCCACCAAAUUAUCAUUUAACUAAGAAAGUAGAAUGGGGAUGUUUUAAUACACAAAAGCUCCCAAAAAAUACCUGCACUAAAUUCUUUGUAGGAAACUAGAAAGAAUGUGCUUCUCCAAAAUGAGGGAGUAAACCAAAAAGAGAAAGACUUGGGAUCCAGUACACAAGAACCUCUCUUAUGAGGGGAAGACAUGGAAUCCAGUAGGCAAGAUCAGACCUCUGUCAUGAAGGGAAGACAGCUGUCUACAAUGUGUGAAUAAAAGAAUACUCCCAGACACAGACAUACACCAACUAUCAACCGUAAUAGAAAGGAGGAUGUCCAAAUGGAAAACCAAAGUAUUGGACGCCUGGUUGGCUCAGUGGUAGAGCAUCUGCCUUGGCUCAGGACGUGAUCCCAGAG
Canis lupus familiaris (dog) is the source of this 1994-nucleotide long non-coding RNA. RefSeq lists it as uncharacterized. NCBI's taxonomy places the organism in Eukaryota, Metazoa, Chordata, Mammalia, Carnivora, Canidae. The record is from RefSeq and is a predicted model, not a curated record. The transcript is spliced from 6 exons.